Molecule: long non-coding RNA, 554 nt
Filed under: Homo sapiens (human)
Lineage: Eukaryota; Metazoa; Chordata; Mammalia; Primates; Hominidae
Description: long intergenic non-protein coding RNA 871
Source: RNAcentral
CAGAAACAAUUGAUCUUGAUGGAACAAUCUUGUUUUUAUAUAAAAUUUCAAGCUGGUGAUGACAUGUGUAAAAGGAAAAGUGCUGCAAGCAGUAAAUGCUGUUCAGUUUGCAGUCCAUUACAUCAACAUAUCUAAAUGAUCCUCUUUAGCCCAAACUAUCAGAAUGAAUUUUCCACAUCAGCCACAAGAAUGACCUUCCGGCAUACAAGACACUUCUUCCCAUGUAAUGCAAGGGAAAAAAAAGUUCAGGUACUUCAAUAGGAUGUUGGAAAAGAAGACUUCCACUCUAAUAGGAUGAAAAAAUGAUCAUUUAUUUACAUCAUUCUGAUUUCUUUUAAUUGCUUCACAAUCCACUAUAAAGAAGAUUCGCUCUGACCCUAAAUUUUCUACUUUUUUUCCCACUUUUCUCUCACAUAAAUUAGGUGUUUCAUUCUUUUUCCUCCUUAUUAUUUUAUUUACACCAUUCUGUGUUGAGCACAGAAAGGUGGAAGUAUAUAGCCCUGUUCUCUGUUUUUAAUGCUCUGUAUAUUUUUGUUUCCUUUUCUGUGGAAUCA